AUGGCGACCGUCAUGCAGAAGAUCAAGGACAUCGAGGACGAGAUGUCAAAGACGCAGAAAAACAAAGCCACUGCACACCAUCUUGGUCUUCUGAAGGCUAAACUUGCAAAAUUACGGCGAGAGUUGCUCACUCCUACAACCAAAGGUGGUGGUGGUGCUGGUGAGGGGUUUGACGUGACGAAAAGUGGAGAUGCACGUGUUGGUUUGGUGGGCUUUCCUUCGGUUGGGAAAUCAACAUUGUUGAACAAGCUGACGGGAACUUUUUCAGAGGUUGCGUCCUAUGAGUUUACAACUUUAACAUGUAUUCCUGGAGUUAUUAUGUACAAAGGAGCUAAAGUACAGCUUCUAGAUCUUCCGGGAAUCAUUGAAGGUGCUAAAGAUGGAAAGGGUAGAGGGAGGCAGGUCAUCAGUACAGCCAGGACAUGUAAUGUCAUUCUGAUUGUUCUUGACGCCAUAAAACCAAUAACUCACAAACGUCUCAUUGAGAAAGAGCUUGAGGGAUUUGGCAUCCGGUUGAACAAGACACCUCCCAAUAUGACAUUCAGGAGAAAGGAAAAGGGUGGCAUCAAUUUUACAUCAACAGUAGCGAACACACACUUGGACCUUGACACAGUAAAAGCAAUCUGUAGUGAGUACAGGAUUCAUAAUGCUGAUGUCUCCCUGAGAUUUGAUGCAACAGCAGAUGACCUUAUAGAUGUCAUUGAGGGAAGUAGAAUCUACAUGCCUUGCAUCUAUGUCGUCAACAAAAUCGACCAGAUCACAGUUGAAGAGCUGGAUAUCUUGGACAAACUUCCCCAUUACUGCCCAAUUAGUGCACAUCUGGAAUGGAACCUUGAUGGGCUUCUAGAGAUGGUCUGGGAAUACCUAGAUUUGUGCAGGCUAUACACAAAACCCAAAGGGCUGAACCCAGACUAUGAGGAUCCUGUGAUCUUAUCAUCCAAGAGGAAAACAGUGGAAGACUUCUGCAACCAAAUCCACAAGGACAUGGCGAAACAGUUUAAAUAUGCACUGGUGUGGGGUUCUAGUGUGAAGCAUAAGCCUCAGAGAGUCGGCAAGGAGCAUGAGCUUGAGGACGAGGACGUUGUUCAGAUCAUUAAGAAAAUAUAA
This 1107-nucleotide ribosomal RNA is filed under the name Triticum aestivum (bread wheat). Its description in RNAcentral is "partial small subunit ribosomal RNA". The record is from RNAcentral. Lineage: Eukaryota; Viridiplantae; Streptophyta; Magnoliopsida; Poales; Poaceae.